RNAcentral lists this ribosomal RNA (1011 nucleotides) under uncultured Lysobacterales bacterium. RNAcentral's name for it is "bacterial SSU rRNA". It matches the Rfam family "Bacterial small subunit ribosomal RNA", at positions 9 to 1009 of the family's 1533-position model. Lineage: Bacteria; Pseudomonadati; Pseudomonadota; Gammaproteobacteria; Lysobacterales. The record is from RNAcentral.
GAGUUUGAUCGUGGCUCAGAGUGAACGCUGGCGGUAGGCCUAACGCAUGCAAGUCGAACGGUAACAGGUCUUUCGGGAUGCUGACGAGUGGCGGACGGGUGAGGAAUACAUCGGAAUCUGCUCAGUCGUGGGGGAUAACGCAUGGAAACGUGCGCUAAUACCGCAUACGACCUUCGGGUGAAAGCAGGGGAAUCUCUCGGGAUCCUUGCGCGAUUGAAUGAGCCGAUGUCGGAUUAGCUAGUUGGUAGGGUAAAAGCCUACCAAGGCCACGAUCCGUAGCUGGUCUGAGAGGAUGAUCAGCCACACUGGGACUGAGACACGGCCCAGACUCCUGCGGGAGGCAGCAGUGGGGAAUAUUGGACAAUGGGGGCAACCCUGAUCCAGCCAUACCGCGUGGGUGAAGAAGGCCUUCUGGGUUGUAAAGCCCUUUUGUUGGGGAAGAAAAACAACGGGUUAAUACCCCGUUGGUAUGACGGUACCCAAAGAAUAAGCACCGGCUAACUUCGUGCCAGCAGCCGCGGUAAUACGAAGGGUGCAAGCGUUACUCGGAAUUACUGGGCGUAAAGGGUGCGUAGGUGGUUGCGCCAGUCUGUCGUGAAAGCCCUGGGCUUAACCUGGGAAUGGCGAUGGAAACUGUGCAACUAGAGUGUGACAGAGGGUGGUGGAAUUCCUGGUGUAGCAGUGAAAUGCGUAGAGAUCAGGAGGAACAUUCGUGGCGAAGGCGGCCACCUGGGUCAACACUGACACUGAGGCACGAAAGCGUGGGGAGCAAACAGGAUUAGAUACCCUGGUAGUCCACGCCCUAAACGAUGCGAACUGGAUGUUGGGUCCAACUUGGGAUUCAGUAUCGAAGCUAACGCGUUAAGUUCGCCGCCUGGGGAGUACGGUCGCAAGACUGAAACUCAAAGGAAUUGACGGGGGCCCGCACAAGCGGUGGAGUAUGUGGUUUAAUUCGAUGCAACGCGCAGAACCUUACCUGGCCUUGACAUGCACGGAACCUUUUGGAGACGA